GGUCUAUGUCAUUUUGUUUUUCUUUGUUGACAAUGUUUAUAUAGUGUUAAAGAUGGAUAAUAACACAAUGUUGACUGCUGUAACCCUGUUUUUAACAUUUUUAUUUAUUAUGUCUGUUUUGUUUACAAUAAAUGGAAUUUUGUGCGACUGUCAUACAAGUGAGAGGUUUAGCUAGCUAUAAAACAGGAUUUAAUCCAUCAUUUUC
Molecule: long non-coding RNA, 205 nt
Filed under: Mytilus galloprovincialis (Mediterranean mussel)
Lineage: Eukaryota; Metazoa; Mollusca; Bivalvia; Mytilida; Mytilidae
Source: RNAcentral